CCUACGGGGGGCAGCAGUGGGGAAUAUUGGACAAUGGGGGGAACCCUGAUCCAGCCAUGCCGCGUGUGUGAAGAAGGCCCUCGGGUUGUAAAGCACUUUCAGUGAGGAAGAACGCCUGGUGGUUAAUACCCAUCAGGAAAGACAUCACUCACAGAAGAAGCACCGGCUAACUCCGUGCCAGCAGCCGCGGUAAUACGGAGGGUGCGAGCGUUAAUCGGAAUUACUGGGCGUAAAGCGCGCGUAGGUGGCUUGAUAAGCCGGUUGUGAAAGCCCCGGGCUCAACCUGGGAACGGCAUCCGGAACUGUCAAGCUAGAGUGCAGGAGAGGAAGGUAGAAUUCCCGGUGUAGCGGUGAAAUGCGUAGAGAUCGGGAGGCAUACCAGUGGCGAAGGCGGCCUUCUGGACUGACACUGACACUGAGGUGCGAAAGCGUGGGUAGCAAACAGGAUUAGAUACCCUGGUAGUC
This 465-nucleotide ribosomal RNA is filed under the name Vreelandella stevensii. RNAcentral's name for it is "partial 16S ribosomal RNA". It matches the Rfam family "Bacterial small subunit ribosomal RNA", at positions 338 to 795 of the family's 1533-position model. The record is from RNAcentral. Lineage: Bacteria; Pseudomonadati; Pseudomonadota; Gammaproteobacteria; Oceanospirillales; Halomonadaceae.